GACGAACGCUGGCGGCGUGCCUAAUACAUGCAAGUCGAACGGGGAACACAGACGGAAGUUUUCGGAUGGAAGGAAGUGUUCUUAGUGGCGGACGGGUGAGUAACGCGUGAGCAAUCUGCCCAUAAGAGGGGGAUAACAGUUAGAAAUGACUGCUAAUACCGCAUAAGACCACACUACCGCAUGGUAGAGGGGUCAAAGAUUUAUCGCUUAUGGAGGAGCUCGCGUCCCAUUAGGUAGUUGGUAGGGUAACAGCCUACCAAGCCUGCGAUGGGUAGCCGGCCUGAGAGGACGAUCAGCCACACUGGGACUGAGACACGGCCCAGACUCCUACGGGAGGCAGCAGUGGGGAAUCUUGCGCAAUGGGGGCAACCCUGACGCAGCCAUGCCGCGUGAAUGAUGAAGGCCUUAGGGUUGUAAAGUUCUUUUGCCCGUGACGAUGAUGACGGUAACGGGAGAAUAAGCUCCGGCUAACUUCGUGCCAGCAGCCGCGGUAAUACG
This 498-nucleotide ribosomal RNA is filed under the name uncultured bacterium. RNAcentral describes it as "bacterial SSU rRNA". It matches the Rfam family "Bacterial small subunit ribosomal RNA", at positions 28 to 527 of the family's 1533-position model. The record is from RNAcentral.